UUUAUGGAGAGUUUGAUCCUGGCUCAGGAUGAACGCUGGCGGCGUGCCUAAUACAUGCAAGUCGAGCGAACGGACGAGAAGCUUGCUUCUCUGAUGUUAGCGGCGGACGGGUGAGUAACACGUGGAUAACCUACCUAUAAGACUGGGAUAACUUCGGGAAACCGGAGCUAAUACCGGAUAAUAUUUUGAACCGCAUGGUUCAAAAGUGAAAGACGGUCUUGCUGUCACUUAUAGAUGGAUCCGCGCUGCAUUAGCUAGUUGGUAAGGUAACGGCUUACCAAGGCAACGAUGCAUAGCCGACCUGAGAGGGUGAUCGGCCACACUGGAACUGAGACACGGUCCAGACUCCUACGGGAGGCAGCAGUAGGGAAUCUUCCGCAAUGGGCGAAAGCCUGACGGAGCAACGCCGCGUGAGUGAUGAAGGUCUUCGGAUCGUAAAACUCUGUUAUUAGGGAAGAACAUAUGUGUAAGUAACUGUGCACAUCUUGACGGUACCUAAUCAGAAAGCCACGGCUAACUACGUGCCAGCAGCCGCGGUAAUACGUAGGUGGCAAGCGUUAUCCGGAAUUAUUGGGCGUAAAGCGCGCGUAGGCGGUUUUUUAAGUCUGAUGUGAAAGCCCACGGCUCAACCGUGGAGGGUCAUUGGAAACUGGAAAACUUGAGUGCAGAAGAGGAAAGUGGAAUUCCAUGUGUAGCGGUGAAAUGCGCAGAGAUAUGGAGGAACACCAGUGGCGAAGGCGACUUUCUGGUCUGUAACUGACGCUGAUGUGCGAAAGCGUGGGGAUCAAACAGGAUUAGAUACCCUGGUAGUCCACGCCGUAAACGAUGAGUGCUA
This 835-nucleotide ribosomal RNA is filed under the name Staphylococcus aureus. RNAcentral's name for it is "bacterial SSU rRNA". It matches the Rfam family "Bacterial small subunit ribosomal RNA", at positions 1 to 818 of the family's 1533-position model. Lineage: Bacteria; Bacillati; Bacillota; Bacilli; Caryophanales; Staphylococcaceae. The record is from RNAcentral. RNAcentral also lists the same sequence under 1 other name.